UACGUAGGGUGCAAGCGUUGUCCGGAAUUAUUGGGCGUAAAGAGCUCGUAGGCGGUCUGUCGCGUCUGCUGUGAAAAUCCAGGGCUCAACCCUGGACCUGCAGUGGGUACGGGCAGACUAGAGUGCGGUAGGGGAGAUCGGAAUUCCUGGUGUAGCGGUGAAAUGCGCAGAUAUCAGGAGGAACACCGGUGGCGAGGGCGGGUCUCUGGGCCGAUACUGACGCUGAGGAGCGAAAGCGUGGGGAGCGAACAGG
RNAcentral lists this ribosomal RNA (253 nucleotides) under uncultured bacterium. Its description in RNAcentral is "partial 16S ribosomal RNA". It matches the Rfam family "Bacterial small subunit ribosomal RNA", at positions 524 to 776 of the family's 1533-position model. The record is from RNAcentral.